GCCGGUUCAGGGCUACGACAUUAGUUUUCUCAUUACAAAUUAUCAUUGUGAAGACAUGCAGAAGCAGAAGCUUAUUGAUUUCAUAGUGCAAUUCAUGGAGGAUAUUGAUAAGGAAAUCAGUGAACUGAAACUAUCAGUGAAUACGCGAGGGAGGCUUGUCGCUACUGAGUUUCUGAAGCAAUUCAUCUGAUCUUUCGUUAUCGUUGUUUAUUCCGUGUUCUAUUCUUGUGACAACUAGAACAUAUAUUCAUUUUUUUGUUCUCUGCUUGUAGCUAAACAUUGCAGAAAUUUUCUGUUGUAUUG
Molecule: unclassified non-coding RNA, 303 nt
Filed under: Hevea brasiliensis (rubber tree)
Lineage: Eukaryota; Viridiplantae; Streptophyta; Magnoliopsida; Malpighiales; Euphorbiaceae
Source: RNAcentral